Molecule: long non-coding RNA, 1128 nt
Filed under: Pongo abelii (Sumatran orangutan)
Lineage: Eukaryota; Metazoa; Chordata; Mammalia; Primates; Hominidae
Description: lncRNA (ENSPPYG00000037522.1)
Source: RNAcentral
CAUGAGCCACCGUGUCCUACCAGAUUUUGUUAAAAGAGGAACAGGCCAGGCAUGGUGGCUCACAUGAACACUCAUGCCCCAGAGAGACAGUGCUCACCUUUACUGGCUCAACUCAGCCUGCCUCUGCUGAGCUAGCAGGUACCCCAAGUCCCAGGAGGUCAGACAUUUGGGCUCUGGAGAGAAGCUUAAAAAAAAUUCAAGGCCGGGCGCGGUGGCUCACGCCUGUAAUCCCAGCACCUUGGGAGGCCGAGGUGGGUGGAUCAUAAGGGCAGGAGAUCGAGACCAUCCUGGCCAACAAGGUGAAACCCCAUCUCUACUAAAAAUACAAAAAGAAGUUAGCUGAGCAUGGUGGUGGACGCCUGUAGUCCCAGCUACUCGGGAGGCUGAGGCAGGAGAAUCGCUUGAACCCAGGAGGCAGAGGUUGCAGUGAGCCGAGAUCACACCACUGUACUCCAGCCUGGUGACAGAGUGAGACUCCAUCUCAAAAAAAAAAAAAAAAAAAUUCAAAAAGUUGGCCAGGUGCGGUGGCUCACGCCUAUAAUCCCAGCACUUUGGGAGGCCGAGGUGGGUGGAUUACCUGAGGUUGGGUGUUCAAGACCAGCCUGACCAAAAUGGAGAAACCCCGUCUCUACUAAAAAAUACAAAAUUAGCCAGGCGUGGUGGCGCAUGCCUGUAAUUACAGCAACUCAGGAGGCUGAGGCAGGAGAAUCACUUGGACCCAGGAGGUGGAGGUUGCAGUGAGCCAAGAUCGCACCAUUGCACUCCAGCCUGGGCAACAGGAACAAAACUCUGUCUCAAAAAAAAAGAAAAAAAAUUCCAAAAGUUGAAUUCUCCCCACCUACUCUGUUAGCUGUUAUUUAUUCCUACCUACCCCUUCCUUAUUUUUAAAUUUUUCAAACUGACAAUAAUUGACCAGCCUGGGCAAUAUAGUGAGACCCUGUCUCUAAAAAAAAAAAAAAAAAAAAAAAUUAGCCGAGUGUGGUGGCGAGUACCUGUAGUCCCAGACUCGGAAUGCUGAAGUGGGAGGACUGAUUGAACCUGAGAGGUUAAGGCUGCAGUGAGCUGAGACUGCACCACUGCACUCCAGCCUGGAUGACAGAGCAAGACCUUAUCUCAAAAACAAUAAUA